Molecule: ribosomal RNA, 461 nt
Filed under: uncultured bacterium
Lineage: Bacteria
Description: partial 16S ribosomal RNA
Rfam family: Bacterial small subunit ribosomal RNA
Source: RNAcentral
CCUACGGGAGGCAGCAGUGAGGAAUAUUGGUCAAUGGGCGCGAGCCUGAACCAGCCAAGUCGCGUGAGGGAGGACGGCCCUACGGGUUGUAAACCUCUUUUGCCGGGGAGCAACGGGCGUCACGUGUGGCGCCACUGAGAGUACCCGGAGAAAAAGCAUCGGCUAACUCCGUGCCAGCAGCCGCGGUAAUACGGAAGGUCCGGGCGUUAUCCGGAUUUAUUGGGUUUAAAGGGAGCGUAGGCCGCAUGUUAAGCGUGCUGUGAAAUGUCCGGGCUCAACCCGGGCCUUGCAGCGCGAACUGGCGUGCUUGAGUCCGCGGAGGGAAGGCGGAAUUCGUGGUGUAGCGGUGAAAUGCUUAGAUAUGACGAAGAACCCCGAUUGCGAAGGCAGCUGGCUGCAGCGGAACUGACGCUGAUGCUCGAAAGCGCGGGUAUCGAACAGGAUUAGAUACCCCGGUAGUC